This 255-nucleotide ribosomal RNA is filed under the name uncultured bacterium. Its description in RNAcentral is "partial 16S ribosomal RNA". It matches the Rfam family "Bacterial small subunit ribosomal RNA", at positions 524 to 776 of the family's 1533-position model. The record is from RNAcentral.
UACGUAGGGCGCAAGCGUUGUCCGGAAUUAUUGGGCGUAAAGAGCUCGUAGGCGGCCUGUUACGUCUGCUGUGAAAUCCCGGGGCUUAACCCCGGGCGUGCAGUGGAUACGGGCAGGCUGGAGGCAGGCAGGGGAGAACGGAAUUCCCGGUGUGAGCGGUGGAAAUGCGCAGAUAUCGGGAGGAACACCGGUGGCGAAGGCGGUUCUCUGGGCCUGUACUGACGCUGAGGAGCGAAAGCGUGGGGAGCGAACAGG